GGACGAAUGGCCGAGUGGUUGAAGGCGCACGCCUGGAAAGUGUGUAUAGGGUCAAAAGCUCUAUCGAGAGUUCGAAUCUCUCUUCGUCCGCCA
This 93-nucleotide transfer RNA is filed under the name Alphaproteobacteria bacterium. Its description in RNAcentral is "tRNA-Ser". It matches the Rfam family "tRNA". Rfam says of the family: Transfer RNA (tRNA) molecules are approximately 80 nucleotides in length. Lineage: Bacteria; Pseudomonadati; Pseudomonadota; Alphaproteobacteria. The record is from RNAcentral.